UACGAAGGGGGCUAGCGUUGUUCGGAAUUACUGGGCGUAAAGGGCGCGUAGGCGGCCGGCUAAGUUAGGCGUGAAAGCCCAGGGCUCAACUCUGGAAUUGCGCUUAAUACUGGUUGGCUUGAGUACGGGAGAGGAUAGUGGAAUUCCCAGUGUAGAGGUGAAAUUCGUAGAUAUUGGGAAGAACACCAGUGGCGAAGGCGGCUAUCUGGACCGUAACUGACGCUGAGGCGCGAAAGCGUGGGGAGCAAACAGG
This 253-nucleotide ribosomal RNA is filed under the name uncultured bacterium. RNAcentral describes it as "partial 16S ribosomal RNA". It matches the Rfam family "Bacterial small subunit ribosomal RNA", at positions 524 to 776 of the family's 1533-position model. The record is from RNAcentral.